GGCUCCUUAGUCUAAAGGUAAAGGAACUUUAGUUCCUUGGACGCACGGCCUCUCAAGCCGGAGAUGUCGGGUUCAAGCCCCGCAGGAGCUA
Molecule: transfer RNA, 91 nt
Filed under: Lachnospiraceae bacterium
Lineage: Bacteria; Bacillati; Bacillota; Clostridia; Lachnospirales; Lachnospiraceae
Description: tRNA-Glu
Rfam family: tRNA
About the family: Transfer RNA (tRNA) molecules are approximately 80 nucleotides in length. Their secondary structure includes four short double-helical elements and three loops (D, anti-codon, and T loops).
Source: RNAcentral